UGAGCAAUCUGCCCUUCUCAUCGGAAUAAGCGUUGGAAACGACGUCUAAUGCCGAAUACGACCUCCUUUCACAUGAUCGGAGGUGGAAAGCUCCGGCGGAGAAGGAUGAGCUCGCGGCCUAUCAGCUAGUUGGUGUGGGUAAUGGCCCACAAGGCGACGACGGGNGCGC
Molecule: ribosomal RNA, 169 nt
Filed under: uncultured bacterium
Lineage: Bacteria
Description: partial 16S ribosomal RNA
Rfam family: Bacterial small subunit ribosomal RNA
Source: RNAcentral